RNA transcript from Agrilus planipennis (emerald ash borer), 924 nucleotides. RefSeq lists it as uncharacterized. Lineage: Eukaryota; Metazoa; Arthropoda; Insecta; Coleoptera; Buprestidae. The record is from RefSeq and is a predicted model, not a curated record. The transcript has 3 exons.
AAAGAUUUAUAAAACAUUAGUUUCGGAAGUCAUUGUAAUUAUUGCAAAUAUUUUUUUUUUAAUAUUAUCAAACAUUUUGAAUAUCCGUCAAAAAGGAUAAUGAUAAUCACUUUUUUAUCUGUAUAUAAUCAUAUAGAAGAACAAGUUAGUUAACAGAUGGUGGUAUGCGGUAGAUACGCUAUGAUAAUCGAGAAUUUUGUAUUAGUUUAGCUGGUUUAGCUCAAUUUAGCUUAAUUACUGUGGUAAAGUUGAUAGUGGAAGCACAAGUAGAAGUGUUAACAAACCAGUAAACAUGAGUUCCUCAUAUUUUAUAAAAAGUGUUCGCCCUUAUUUAGGUGAAGCUGAAGACUUACCUGAGGAAUUACAACUUCGUUUUUUAAAAUUUGCCCUUCAUGGUAAUUACGCUAAUAAUUUUUCUGAAAUAAAGAAAUGCUUUUCUUCUUUGAAAAUAACAACAAAAAGUAGCUUGUACAAUUUAUGUGGCACAUUCAUUGAACUUGUCAAACUUAGUCAGCGUUUGAAACCACGGGAUUUUCAAGACACAUUACAAGAAUAUGGAGUAGGUUUGAAAUUCAUUGAAAAUAUUUUAAAGACUGUACAAAGCUUAUCAAUGGAAUGCACCAUUCCAAAUCAGAAAGGUGAUAUUUCUGACAUUAAAUGGAAGAUAGAUUUAAGUUUACUAGACAGCAAGUUUGGUACAAGUGGUAUAGUUAUUCAUUUUAGUAUUCAGUUGACUGAUGGAAGGAGAAUUAUAUUUAGUAUGGAUCAAAAAAAAUUUCAUCUUUUAAGGUAUAAUAUUACUUUAAUAACAAAGCAGUUACUUAAAUUACAGCAGUUAAAUAUUUCAAAGAUAAAGUAAUUUUAAAAAAAAUAUAUUUUAGUAACAGAAAUUCAAUCAGUUUGAUUUUAUGUUUAUUUUAGUAU